CGAAUGCUGACAUAAGUAACGAUAAAGCGGGUGAAAAGCCCGCUCGCCGGAAGACCAAGGGUUCCUGUCCAACGUUAAUCGGGGCAGGGUGAGUCGACCCCUAAGGCGAGGCCGAAAGGCGUAGUCGAUGGGAAACAGGUUAAUAUUCCUGUACUUGGUGUUACUGCGAAGGGGGGACGGAGAAGGCUAUGUUGGCCGGGCGACGGUUGUCCCGGUUUAAGCGUGUAGGCUGGUUUUCCAGGCAAAUCCGGAAAAUCAAGGCUGAGGCGUGAUGACGAGGCACUACGGUGCUGAAGCAACAAAUGCCCUGCUUCCAGGAAAAGCCUCUAAGCAUCAGGUAACAUCAAAUCGUACCCCAAACCGACACAGGUGGUCAGGUAGAGAAUACCAAGGCGCUUGAGAGAACUCGGGUGAAGGAACUAGGCAAAAUGGUGCCGUAACUUCGGGAGAAGGCACGCUGAUAUGUAGGUGAAGCGACUUGCUCGUGGAGCUGAAAUCAGUCGAAGAUACCAGCUGGCUGCAACUGUUUAUUAAAAACACAGCACUGUGCAAACACGAAAGUGGACGUAUACGGUGUGACGCCUGCCCGGUGCCGGAAGGUUAAUUGAUGGGGUUAGCGCAAGCGAAGCUCUUGAUCGAAGCCCCGGUAAACGGCGGCCGUAACUAUAACGGUCCUAAGGUAGCGAAAUUCCUUGUCGGGUAAGUUCCGACCUGCACGAAUGGCGUAAUGAUGGCCAGGCUGUCUCCACCCGAGACUCAGUGAAAUUGAACUCGCUGUGAAGAUGCAGUGUACCCGCGGCAAGACGGAAAGACCCCGUGAACCUUUACUAUAGCUUGACACUGAACAUUGAGCCUUGAUGUGUAGGAUAGGUGGGAGGCUUUGAAGUGUGGACGCCAGUCUGCAUGGAGCCGACCUUGAAAUACCACCCUUUAAUGUUUGAUGUUCUAACGUUGACCCGUAAUCCGGGUUGCGGACAGUGUCUGGUGGGUAGUUUGACUGGGGCGGUCUCCUCCUAAAGAGUAACGGAGGAGCACGAAGGUUGGCUAAUCCUGGUCGGACAUCAGGAGGUUAGUGCAAUGGCAUAAGCCAGCUUGACUGCGAGCGUGACGGCGCGAGCAGGUGCGAAAGCAGGUCAUAGUGAUCCGGUGGUUCUGAAUGGAAGGGCCAUCGCUCAACGGAUAAAAGGUACUCCGGGGAUAACAGGCUGAUACCGCCCAAGAGUUCAUAUCGACGGCGGUGUUUGGCACCUCGAUGUCGGCUCAUCACAUCCUGGGGCUGAAGUAGGUCCCAAGGGUAUGGCUGUUCGCCAUUUAAAGUGGUACGCGAGCUGGGUUUAGAACGUCGUGAGACAGUUC
RNAcentral lists this ribosomal RNA (1356 nucleotides) under Escherichia coli. RNAcentral's name for it is "partial 23S ribosomal RNA". It matches the Rfam family "Bacterial large subunit ribosomal RNA", at positions 1291 to 2632 of the family's 2925-position model. The record is from RNAcentral. Lineage: Bacteria; Pseudomonadati; Pseudomonadota; Gammaproteobacteria; Enterobacterales; Enterobacteriaceae.